Non-coding RNA from Parelaphostrongylus tenuis, 78 nucleotides. NCBI's taxonomy places the organism in Eukaryota, Metazoa, Nematoda, Chromadorea, Rhabditida, Metastrongylidae. The record is from the annotation of a GenBank genome assembly.
ACGCACCGGGAUUGGUGGUUUAGUGGUAGAAGGCUCGCCUACCACUCGACGAUCCUGGUUCGAUUUCAGGCCAGCGUG